GUUGACGAAUGACGAAGCGCUAGGCUGGCAGUAUUUGAAGACAUCGUGAAAGUAUUGUCUCGACCAGUUACCAGUUUUCAACGAUAAAAUUCAUCGUCAAUUUUAUGGUCAGACCAUCUCCAACUAUUAGUGGCCAAAAAAAGCAACAAGCAAAUCGAAUGAUUGAGGUGAUGGCAGGGAUUAUUCUGCACAGGUGUGGCAGCAAUGUCAAUCAGGCCGGAGUUUCCAGUAUCUGUAAGUUGCACAUCAACGGUAUUUCCAGUUUCAAUUCUUGUUCAUCGGGAACCGCUUCAAAAUGACAUCUGAUUGCGAACGAAUUUCAUCCUGUUCGAAAAAAGGGCAAUUUACAAUCUCCUUACAACUCCUAAUCUCCUAAGAACAAAACAAUUUGAUUCGAUCUGAAGCUAUCUCUAAACGAUCUGUUUUGGAAAAUGAAUUAACGACGUUUGCUGUUGCAAUAUACAGCGCUAUCCUAUCCAUUAAUUUUUUCCCUCAGAUGCCUCGUAAAAUGCCUUAUGCGGGCAAAUUAGCCAGCUAUACAGAACCAAGGUUCAGGGGUUUAUACAAGCUGGUCAUCAACAAGAACCGAAACAUAGCAAACUAAGUAUCAUGAUACCAGUUACAUCAGAUACUUCUAGAUUUUCAACAUCUUAGUUCACAGUUCCAAAAGACGCAAUCGCGACCUUGGCGAAUCUAGCUAUAGUGAUGUGAAGAUAGAUCUAUGGAUGGAAAUGUGAUGGAUCUUGAAAAGAAUGUGCUCAUUGGAAUCUGUUGAAUUAGUGAUUCAUGAUUAUUUACAAAGUCGUUGCUACCAUUGGUGUAGUCUAUGUAUAGUUAUACCAUUGAGAGAUUUUAAAUUGCUAUGAUCUUAGAUUGUAUAAACGGUAAUACCAUGCGGUUGUAAAAAUUCAUCACAAUGUUGUCAAAGAUGUACUCAAACUAAAUUUUUAAAUUAUCAAUCCAACAAAAUUAUAUUACAACAUGGCGGUAUGAAGAUACCUUCCUGAUCAUGAAUGAAAACAAAUUACUAAAAACUUGACCCAAGCUUAUUUUAGGAUUAAGCAAUCCUAAAUUCAUGAUUUUUCAAUGAGUGACUAGUGAUUCAAACGACAGAAGGUUUAAGGAAUGAGCGGUUCGGCGAAUUAAAACGAGUGUCUAUGCUAAAACCUGUAA
Long non-coding RNA from Uranotaenia lowii, 1173 nucleotides. RefSeq lists it as uncharacterized. Lineage: Eukaryota; Metazoa; Arthropoda; Insecta; Diptera; Culicidae. The record is from RefSeq and is a predicted model, not a curated record. The transcript is spliced from 3 exons.